Molecule: ribosomal RNA, 471 nt
Filed under: uncultured bacterium
Lineage: Bacteria
Description: bacterial SSU rRNA
Rfam family: Bacterial small subunit ribosomal RNA
Source: RNAcentral
ACUCCUACGGGAGGCAGUAGUGGGGAAUAUUGCACAAUGGGCGCAAGCCUGAUGCAGCCAUGCCGCGUGUAUGAAGAAGGCCUUCGGGUUGUAAAGUACUUUCAGCAGUGAGGAAGGUGGGUAUGUUAAUAGCAUAUUCAUUUGACGUUAGCUGCAGAAGAAGCACCGGCUAACUCCGUGCCAGCAGCCGCGGUAAUACGGAGGGUGCGAGCGUUAAUCGGAAUUACUGGGCGUAAAGCGCAUGCAGGUGGUUUGUUAAGUCAGAUGUGAAAGCCCGGGGCUCAACCUCGGAAUUGCAUUUGAAACUGGCAAACUAGAGUACUGUAGAGGGGGGUAGAAUUUCAGGUGUAGCGGUGAAAUGCGUAGAGAUCUGAAGGAAUACCGGUGGCGAAGGCGGCCCCCUGGACAGAUACUGACACUCAGAUGCGAAAGCGUGGGGAGCAAACAGGAUUAGAUACCCUGGUAGGCUCU